GAUGAACGCUGGCGGCGUGCCUAACACAUGCAAGUCGAACGGAGAUUCCGGACGGAAGUUUUCGGAUGGAAGCCUGUAAUUCUUAGUGGCGGACGGGUGAGUAACGCGUGGGCAACCUGCCCUAUACAGGGGGAUAGCAGCUGGAAACGGCUGGUAAGACCGCAUAAGUCGGUUAAAUCGCAUGAUUUGAUCGGGAAAUGAGCAAUCAGGUAUAGGAUGGGCCCGCGUCCGAUUAGCCAGUUGGCAGGGUAAAAGCCUACCAAAGCGACGAUCGGUAGCCGGACUGAGGGGUCGGACGGCCACAUUGGGACUGAGACACGGCCCAAACUCCUACGGGAGGCAGCAGUGGGGGAUAUUGCACAAUGGAGGAAACUCUGAUGCAGCGACGCCGCGUGAGUGAAGAAGUAUUUCGGUAUGUAAAGCUCUAUCAGCAGGGAAGAUGAUGACGGUACCUGACGAAGAAGCCCCGGCUAACUACGUG
This 481-nucleotide ribosomal RNA is filed under the name uncultured bacterium. RNAcentral's name for it is "partial 16S ribosomal RNA". It matches the Rfam family "Bacterial small subunit ribosomal RNA", at positions 28 to 507 of the family's 1533-position model. The record is from RNAcentral.